UCCCCUAGUAGCGGCGAGCGAAGCGGGAAGAGCUCAAAUUUAUAAUCUGGCACCUUCGGUGUCCGAGUUGUAAUCUCUAGAAAUGUUUUCCGCGUUGGACCGCACACAAGUCUGUUGGAAUACAGCGGCAUAGUGGUGAGACCCCCGUAUAUGGUGCGGACGCCCAGCGCUUUGUGAUACAUUUUCGAAGAGUCGAGUUGUUUGGGAAUGCAGCUCAAAUUGGGUGGUAAAUUCCAUCUAAAGCUAAAUAUUGGCGAGAGACCGAUAGCGAACAAGUACCGUGAGGGAAAGAUGAAAAGCACUUUGGAAAGAGAGUUAACAGUACGUGAAAUUGUUGGAAGGGAAACGCUUGAAGUCAGACUUGCUUGCCGAGCAAUCGGUUUGCAGGCCAGCAUCAGUUUUUCGGGGUGGAUAAUGGUAGAGAGAAGGUAGCAGUUUCGGCUGUGUUAUAGCUCUCUACUGGAUACACCCUGGGGGACUGAGGAACGCAGUGUGCCUUUGGCGGGGGUUUCGACCUCUUCACACUUAGGAUGCUGGUGGAAUGGCUUUAAACGACCCGUCUUGAAACACGGAC
This 574-nucleotide ribosomal RNA is filed under the name Rhodotorula mucilaginosa. Its description in RNAcentral is "partial large subunit ribosomal RNA". It matches the Rfam family "Eukaryotic large subunit ribosomal RNA", at positions 76 to 666 of the family's 3401-position model. The record is from RNAcentral. Lineage: Eukaryota; Fungi; Basidiomycota; Microbotryomycetes; Sporidiobolales; Sporidiobolaceae.